Molecule: ribosomal RNA, 140 nt
Filed under: uncultured eukaryote
Lineage: Eukaryota
Description: partial 18S ribosomal RNA
Rfam family: Eukaryotic small subunit ribosomal RNA
Source: RNAcentral
UGGUGGAGUGAUUUGUCUGGUUAAUUCCGUUAACGAACGAGACCUUAACCUGCUAAAUAGGUGCGCGAGCCGUUCGAGCUCGUAGUGCGUUCUUAGAGGGACAAACCACGGCUAGUGGUUGGAAGUUUGAGGCAAUAACA